UGUCGUUUAACGUUUAUGUAUUUACAGUUAAAAUCCAGUGGUGCAUCUGUGGAAUUUUAAUAACUAUCUAUCGUCUACAUGCUAUCAUGCAUCUAUGAUUAGUUUACAUUUAUUUAUCUGUCAAAUUUGGUCUGUCAUGCAAAGUUGCGCUUGUCUCCAUUUUAUAAUUGAGGUGUUUCAUUUGGCUUUUGGUGCGUGUUUUUAGACUGUGUUUAAUCUGUUCCUUAAUUAAUACUGUAAGUAAUAUGUCUUUUGCCCAUUUCUACAGAUCGUUCAACAAAUGAGAGGGAGUUAUAUUAAGUUUGGUCAUACUGAAACAACCAUUGUCUACAUUGGGUGUGGUCUUUGGUGAACUAUAUUCUUGAUUUGCUGUUUCGUCUUUAUACAAUUAGUUUUGAACUGAUAAGUGAGAGCAAUUGUAUGUUUAUUUGAAUUCCACUGAAAUAAAACUUUUCUGCAUUGGCAUUACUCUUGGAUUGGUUCGCUUUUCACACCUACAAACUUUGGAACAUUACAGUCUACAGAUAAUUAAGAUCGUUCAACAAAUGAGAGGGAGUUGAAAGUUCAGUUUGGUCGUACUGAAACAACCAUUGUCUUCAUGGGUGUGGUCUUUGGUGAACUACAUUCUUGAUUUGCUGUUUUCGUCUUCGCUUUGCAUCACUGUGCACUUGGUUUUGAACUGAUGAAUGAGAGCAACUGGAUAUUUAUUUGAUUUCCACUGAAAUAAGGAAUUUUAUGCAUUGGCAUUAUUCCUGAAUUUGGUUUGCUUUUCACACCUGCAAACUUUGGAACAUUACAGUCUACAGUUAAUUAAGAUCGACGUUAGAGAAGACAAAGAUG
Molecule: long non-coding RNA, 840 nt
Organism: Agrilus planipennis (emerald ash borer)
Lineage: Eukaryota; Metazoa; Arthropoda; Insecta; Coleoptera; Buprestidae
Exons: 3
Source: RefSeq, a predicted model, not a curated record